This 465-nucleotide ribosomal RNA is filed under the name uncultured bacterium. RNAcentral describes it as "partial 16S ribosomal RNA". It matches the Rfam family "Bacterial small subunit ribosomal RNA", at positions 28 to 507 of the family's 1533-position model. The record is from RNAcentral.
GACGAACGCUGGCGGCGUGCUUAACACAUGCAAGUCGAACGGAAAGGCCCUGCUUGCAGGGUACUCGAGUGGCGAACGGGUGAGUAACACGUGGGUGAUCUGCCCUGCACUUCGGGAUAAGCCUGGGAAACUGGGUCUAAUACCGGAUAGGAGCCAUUUUUAGUGUGACGGUUGGAAAGUUUUUUCGGUGUAGGAUGAGCUCGCGGCCUAUCAGCUUGUUGGUGGGGUAAUGGCCUACCAAGGCGGCGACGGGUAGCCGGCCUGAGAGGGUGGACGGCCACAUUGGGACUGAGAUACGGCCCAGACUCCUACGGGAGGCAGCGGUGGGGAAUAUUGCACAAUGGGCGCAAGCCUGAUGCAGCGACGCCGCGUGGGGGAUGACGGCCUUCGGGUUGUAAACUCCUUUCGCUAGGGACGAAGCUUUUUGUGACGGUACCUAGAUAAGAAGCACCGGCUAACUACGUG